CCUACGGGAGGCAGCAGUGGGGAAUUUUGGACAAUGGGCGCAAGCCUGAUCCAGCCAUGCCGCGUGAGUGAAGAAGGCCUUCGGGUUGUAAAGCUCUUUCGGCAGGAACGAAAUGGUUCGUGUUAAUACCACGGACUGAUGACGGUACCUGAAGAAGAAGCACCGGCUAACUACGUGCCAGCAGCCGCGGUAAUACGUAGGGUGCAGGCGUUAAUCGGAAUUACUGGGCGUAAAGCGUGCGCAGGCGGUUUCUUAAGUCAGAUGUGAAAGCCCCGGGCUUAACCUGGGAACUGCGUUUGAAACUGGGAGACUUGAGUGUGGCAGAGGGGGGUGGAAUUCCACGUGUAGCAGUGAAAUGCGUAGAUAUGUGGAGGAACACCGAUGGCGAAGGCAGCCCCCUGGGUUAACACUGACGCUCAUGCACGAAAGCGUGGGGAGCAAACAGGGAUUACGAUACCCUGGUAGUCCACGCCCUAAACUAUGUCAACUGGUUAUCGGGGGAUUGAUUCCCUUGGUAACGAAGCUAACGCGUGAAGUUGACCGCCUGGGGAAUACGGCCGCAAGGUUUAAAACCNCAAAAGAGUAGUCGGACGNGAGAGAGCGACGACGACGACGACGGAGGAGGAG
This 627-nucleotide ribosomal RNA is filed under the name uncultured bacterium. RNAcentral's name for it is "bacterial SSU rRNA". It matches the Rfam family "Bacterial small subunit ribosomal RNA", at positions 338 to 955 of the family's 1533-position model. The record is from RNAcentral.